Molecule: unclassified non-coding RNA, 241 nt
Filed under: uncultured Helotiales
Lineage: Eukaryota; Fungi; Ascomycota; Leotiomycetes; Helotiales
Description: sequence contains 5.8S rRNA gene, ITS2, 28S rRNA gene
Rfam family: 5.8S ribosomal RNA (bases 1-52)
Source: RNAcentral
AACGCACAUUGCGCCCCUUGGUAUUCCGAGGGGCAUGCCUGUUCGAGCGUCAUUUCAACCCUCAAGCUCUGCUUGGUAUUGGGCUCGGCCGUAUGGCCGGCCUUAAAAUCAGUGGCGGUGCCGUCUGGCUCCAAGCGUAGUACAUCUCUCGCUCUGGAGGCCCGGUGGUGUCUUGCCAGAUAACCCCCAUUAUCUUUCUAUGGUUGACCUCGGAUCAGGUAGGGAUACCCGCUGAACUUAA